This is a long non-coding RNA of Cyprinus carpio (common carp), 658 nucleotides long. RefSeq lists it as uncharacterized. The transcript is spliced from 3 exons. The record is from RefSeq and is a predicted model, not a curated record. Lineage: Eukaryota; Metazoa; Chordata; Actinopteri; Cypriniformes; Cyprinidae.
UUCGUUGUUUUUUCGCACUUUCUAGCCUUUUUUUCUUCCAUUGCUAUGGCAACGCGCUGUAGUGCCGCGCUUUAAACGGAGACCGCAGCGGGUCUCCAUGCGCCCGUGUAAACUUCUUCUGCAUGAACGCCCGCCUGCUGGGUUUUGCUAUUGAAAUAGUAAGCGAAAGUUUAACGUGUUGUUUUGUUUGUUUGCUUGCUCGAGGCCUGGCUUCAUCAAAUCGAGCAGCAGGAUUAAUAAAAGAGAAACGAGGCCUCGAUCUCCGUCAGAUAAGAAGCUGAUGAGAGGCAGUGUGGAGAUCUCAUCAUCAUCCUCAUGUGUGGGUGAGGAAGAUCACAGUCCUGCUCUGAGCAGACACGACACCCAGAGUCUGGCCGUCACAGCUCAAGACCUGGAGAGGAUUCCCAGAAGUCUAAAUCGAUGACCCGUGCAUACGUCCGUAAGACACGCCCACCAGAUGAGUUCAGCAGAGCGGUCACUGUUGUGAGGCCCCUCCCACACGAUGAUGCCCCGCCCCAUGCAGGUGAGUGGGUGUGGCUUCAGGUCAGAACAGAAAAUUCAGUUUGAUUGAUGAUUUAGACUCUCUUACCAAAUUUGAUAUAUUUAUAUUUAAAUUUUAAUUCCGCUUCUCAAGACUGGUAAGAAAUCAUAAAACGUG